This 1161-nucleotide ribosomal RNA is filed under the name Colpocephalum eucarenum. Its description in RNAcentral is "16S ribosomal RNA". The stretch from base 761 to 1099 matches the Rfam family "Archaeal large subunit ribosomal RNA", at positions 2150 to 2716 of the family's 2987-position model. Lineage: Eukaryota; Metazoa; Arthropoda; Insecta; Psocodea; Menoponidae. The record is from RNAcentral.
AAACAGGAUAAAUAUUCUUUUGUACUUUAUAAAAUUAAUAACAAAAAAAAUUUUUUUUUUAGUACUUUUCUGAAAAAUUAAUAUAGUAAAACCGAUAGGGACACAAUUAAUAUAUAAAAAGUAUUAAAAGUACCUUUUGCAUCAUGGUAUAUUGAAUAAAUUUUUCAAAAAAAAAUUCCCGAAUUAAAAAGAUUUAUAAAAAUAUUAAAGUUUAUGUUUCAUAAUAAUUUUAAAUUUUUUUAUAGAAAUUAAAAGUUAAAUCGUUUUUUAAUUUAUCUGGUUCUUUUGGAAAUAGAUUUAAUCUAGAAAGAUAAUAUUUUACGUUUUUAAUUGAAAAAUUUUUUCUUUCAAGCUCUAGGGAGGAAAGUUCUUAGAGAAAUUACAAUUUAGCUAAAAAUUUUAAGUAAUUAUAUUUAUUUAAGCAAAAAUGAAUUUUUAUAAAAUUUAAUUAUAUACAAAAGUGAAUAUAAUAAUUUUAUUAUAUAAUAAUUAUGAUAUAAUGAGUAAUUGAAUAAAAAAUUAUCUUGGGAACUCGGCAAAAAUUUUUUCUGCCUGUUUAACAAAAACAUAGCUUUCUUUUAUGAAUAGAAGGUAAAACCUGCUCACUGAUUAUUUAAAGAGCCGCAGUAUACUGACUGUGCAAAGGUAGCAUAAUAAAUAGUAUUUUAAUUGAAUACUGGAAUGAACGGUUAAACAAGAAAAAUACUUUCCUAGAAAUUAAGAAUGAAAUUAAAUUUUAAGUGCAAAUUCUUAAAUAAAUGUGAUAGACGAGAAGACCCUAUAGAUCUUUACUUUAAAAAAAGAAUAAUUCUUUACUAAAAGUUUAAUUGGGGCAAUUGAAAAAUAUGAAAAACUUUUUCUUAAAUUAACCCAAAAAUGGGAUUAAUGACCUUAAAUUAAAAUCAGAUAAAAAGUUACCUUAGGGAUAACAGCGUGAUAAAGAGUUAAAAGAACAAAUUUUAAUUCAUGUUCACGACCUCGAUGUUGAAUUAAGGUUUCCUUGAGGAGCAAAAAUUUCACAGGUUAGUCUGUUCGACUAUUAAAACCUUACAUGAUUUGAGUUCAGACCGACGCAAGUCAGGUCAGUUUCUAUCUUCACAUAAAGUGAAGUUUAUCAGUACGAAAGGACAAAUAAAUAAAAUUCUUAAAAUAAAAUUUCUA